Rhododendron vialii is the source of this 596-nucleotide long non-coding RNA. RefSeq lists it as uncharacterized. The record is from RefSeq and is a predicted model, not a curated record. Lineage: Eukaryota; Viridiplantae; Streptophyta; Magnoliopsida; Ericales; Ericaceae. The transcript has 2 exons.
UUUUGUAAACGUACGACACGUCGAGAUAGACGGUACAGAUAUUUGGUGUGGCGUAUUCGUGGAAGGAUAUAAGGGUGAUUGUGCGAAAGGUGCACGUGUGAGUGUGUGGUGUGAGAAGUAGGGGAUUACUCCCCCACCUUUAUUAUUUCUCCAGGAGGAGAAAUAUUCCCAUUCUCUCUCUUUCUCACUCUCGGCUCUCUCUCUUCUCCUCUCCUCCGAAAAACUCCCUCCUCUUUUCUCUCUUCGAUUUCAUCUACCUAGGGUGUGAUUCCGGACAAGGUCCGAGAAUAAAAGUUGCUAUACGAAGCACGGGCUUUCCGAAUAUCUAAGAAAAUUCAUGAUCGGACCUCGUGGGAGCUCAGUUGACUUGGUCAAAAGGUCGGGUUUUGCUCAAAACCCUUGAGGUACACCACAGGAGCACAGUCAUGGAGAGUAUGGAGUGCAUGCAGACAUCAUAGGCCAAAGUUAUUUUCUAAAGUACUUGUCUUUCUUCGUAAAUCGAACUGCAUUGUACUAUUUUCUCUAAUUUGGAAUACUGUAUAUGUUUGACAGAUUUGUGAGAUUCGGGAAUUGUAUUGUAAUUUGGAGUAUCGUAU